RNAcentral lists this ribosomal RNA (467 nucleotides) under uncultured bacterium. RNAcentral describes it as "partial 16S ribosomal RNA". It matches the Rfam family "Bacterial small subunit ribosomal RNA", at positions 28 to 507 of the family's 1533-position model. The record is from RNAcentral.
GACGAACGCUGGCGGCGUGCUUAACACAUGCCAGUCGAACGGAAAGGCCUCUUUCGGGGGGUACUCGAGUGGCGAACGGGUGAGUAACACAUGAGUAACCUGCCCUUGACUUUGGGAUAACUUCAGGAAACUGGGGCUAAUACCGGAUAGGAGCUCCUGCUGCAUGGUGGGGGUUGGAAAGUUUCGGCGGUUGGGGAUGGACUCGCGGCUUAUCAGCUUGUUGGUGGGGUAGUGGCUUACCAAGGCUUUGACGGGUAGCCGGCCUGAGAGGGUGACCGGCCACAUUGGGACUGAGAUACGGCCCAGACUCCUACGGGAGGCAGCAGUGGGGAAUAUUGCACAAGGGGUGGAAGCCUGAUGCAGCAACGCCGUGUGCGGGAGGACGGCCUUCGGGUUGUAAACCGCUUUCGCUCAUGACGAAGCUUUGUGUGACGGUAGUGGGUAAAGAAGCACCGGCUAACUACGUG